UACGGAGGAUGCGAGCGUUAUCCGGAUUUAUUGGGUUUAAAGGGUGCGUAGGCGGUCCGUUAAGUCAGCGGUAAAAUUGCGGGGCUCAACCCCGUCGAGCCGUUGAAACUGCCGUGCUAGAGAGGAAGAGAAGUAGGCGGAAUGCGCAGUGUAGCGGUGAAAUGCAUAGAUAUCGCGCAGAACCCCGAUUGCGAAGGCAGCAUACCGGCGCCCGACUGACGCUGAGGCACGAAAGUGCGGGUAUCGAACAGG
RNAcentral lists this ribosomal RNA (252 nucleotides) under uncultured Bacteroidales bacterium. Its description in RNAcentral is "partial 16S ribosomal RNA". It matches the Rfam family "Bacterial small subunit ribosomal RNA", at positions 524 to 776 of the family's 1533-position model. The record is from RNAcentral. Lineage: Bacteria; Pseudomonadati; Bacteroidota; Bacteroidia; Bacteroidales.